UACGUAGGUGGCAAGCGUUGUCCGGAUUUACUGGGCGUAAAGAGCGUGUAGGCGGCCUUUUAAGUCCUGCGUGAAAUCCUGCGGCUCAACCGCAGACGGUCGUGGGAAACUGGAAGCUAGAGUGCGGGAGAGGAGGGUGGAAUUCCCGGUGUAGCGGUGAAAUGCGUAGAUAUUGGGAAGAACACCAGUGGCGAAGGCGGCUCACUGGCCCGUAACUGACGCUGAGGUGCGAAAGCGUGGGGAGCAAACAGG
Molecule: ribosomal RNA, 252 nt
Filed under: uncultured bacterium
Lineage: Bacteria
Description: partial 16S ribosomal RNA
Rfam family: Bacterial small subunit ribosomal RNA
Source: RNAcentral